This 125-nucleotide small RNA is filed under the name Marmota monax (woodchuck). The record is from RNAcentral. Lineage: Eukaryota; Metazoa; Chordata; Mammalia; Rodentia; Sciuridae.
GUCAGGUGUGGUGACGCACGCCUGUAACCCCAGUGGCUUGGGAGGCUGAGGCAGGAGGAUCUGGAGUUCAAAGCCAGUCUCAGCAACAGUGAAGUGCCAAGCAACUCACUGAGACCCUGUCUUUA